This 1492-nucleotide long non-coding RNA is filed under the name Amazona collaria (yellow-billed parrot). RNAcentral describes it as "lncRNA (ENSACOG00000014382.1)". Lineage: Eukaryota; Metazoa; Chordata; Aves; Psittaciformes; Psittacidae. The record is from RNAcentral.
CUAACCCGUCCGCCCACCAUGGUUCGCUACCUCCCGGCUGCUUCCCUCCCACCCGCCUCUAGGCGGAGUCUCAGUGGCAGGCACGGCGCUGCGGGAUGCGCUCCCAUUGGUGCUCUGCGGCCGGUCCCGCCCGUCGCCCCCUUGGCCCCUUAGGCAGCCGAUCGGUCCGAUGCAGUUUCUGGAGAGGUGAGGCGGGAGUACGUCUCGUAGGCCGUGCGGAGGGCAGCCUCCCGGGGGCCGCGUGUUCACUGCCGCGGAGCGCGGCUGCAGAGCUGCGGGAGCCGGAUCGGGCGCUGAUAGCUGCCCGCCGUUACUCAGCACAACCGGCACCCAUCCCCCGCCGGCCGGGGCUCGAGCGGCGGCGGCUGGGGAAGCGUGGGGCCGCCGCCUCCCAGAGGUGCGCCAGGUGCAGUGACCUGACAGAAGCCGAGCUUGUGACCUGUAGAUGGACUUGGGAUGGAAAAGUUAAAAUUGAGAUAAAAUGUCAGAUGCCUUAACACUAGGAAAGUAAUGUAAAUACCUGUCUUAGGUGUGCUGGUUUCCAGCAUGGUUCUUGGCAGAUUUUAUCACUCUUUCUACCUCUGAGAAAAACUAUUGUCUCAACAAAGAAUUUCCUUCCUCCUUCCCUCCAGUCUUUUCCCUGCUGUAAAUUAAGAGAAGGACACAAUGUCUGCUUUUUGGGGUGACUGUAUCUUGUAUGCCUAGCUUGCUUGAAGUAUGUGUGUAUUUGUUUUUUUUUCUCCUCUCACUCUGUCAGCCAAUGCUUGGAAUUGGCAGUAUAGGUUGUAAUGAUUUGACAAAUAUCUGAAAUAGAGCGUUUGGUUUGGGAUAGUAUUGUUAAAGCAUGGAAUAAGAAUAGUCACGUCAUUAAUAUAGUCUGAAUUCCUAGGUGCAAUAUGGGAAACCUUAGGUAAUAAUUUCUUUGAAGGGUUUGAAAACAUUUAUGUCAGCCAGUAUGUGAAGCAAGGAGGAGGUUAUGGGUGGAUUGUAGUGUACUGAGGGUCUAUAGUGUUUGCUAAGCCAGUAGAAGCAUCUUGUUUUGCCUUCUAAGUUUUGACUUUUGUGCACCUUUCAUACUUAUGAUACUGCUUACAGGAGCUCGUAAGUCAUGAUUGCAAUACUUACUCUGUAUUUAGGAAAUGCUGUAGUGAUUUUUGGCUGCAGAAACCUGCAUAGCCUUAGUACACUGCAAACACUCCAAAAUACUCCAAAAACUCUGAAAUUUAAGCUUGUUCUUUCCUGGAUAAUCAUAUUUUAGUUUUAAUAUCUGACAGAGCUUUUUAGAGUUGUCACCCUUCUUUAAUAAUAUGCUCAUUCUAAAGUAGCUGAUGAUAUAAAAUAAGCUAUUGUGUAGAAAUUUUUAUAUAUAUAUAUUUAAAUCUGUGUUUUGGUAAUUAUUUCCACUAAAAUUAUGUAUUCUGGAGAGGUUAUGUUCACAUUUUGCAGAAGUUUUCUUUUUUUUUAUAUAGGAUUGUAACUAGAAACUGAUACC